ACAGAGGUCCCAAGCGUUGUUCGGAUUCACUGGGCGUAAAGGGUGCGUAGGUGGCGGGGUAAGUCGGAUGUGAAAUCUCGGAGCUCAACUCCGAAAUGGCAUUGGAAACUACCCUGCUCGAGGAUUGGAGGGGGGACUGGAAUACUUGGUGUAGCAGUGAAAUGCGUAGAUAUCAAGUGGAACACCAGUGGCGAAGGCGAGUCCCUGGACAACUCCUGACACUGAGGCACGAAAGCUAGGGGAGCAAACAG
This 251-nucleotide ribosomal RNA is filed under the name uncultured prokaryote. RNAcentral describes it as "partial 16S rRNA". It matches the Rfam family "Bacterial small subunit ribosomal RNA", at positions 525 to 775 of the family's 1533-position model. The record is from RNAcentral.